This is a long non-coding RNA of Leopardus geoffroyi (Geoffroy's cat), 3900 nucleotides long. RefSeq lists it as uncharacterized. The record is from RefSeq and is a predicted model, not a curated record. NCBI's taxonomy places the organism in Eukaryota, Metazoa, Chordata, Mammalia, Carnivora, Felidae. The transcript is spliced from 3 exons.
GCCCCUCCCCCAUUCACGCUCUCCUUCUCUCUCUCUCUCUCUCUCUCUCAAGAAUAAAUAAACAUUAAAAAAAAAAAACCAAAAUCCCAACAAAAACAGAACCGCCAUGGAGACUCCUCAGGCUUUGCUGGGGUUUUUCCUCUCUUCCUCCACUUCACCCCUACAUUUAUGGGGGUCGUUGUAAGGCUGUGUCCUCACGGAGAGUGAUUAGUCAACGGUUUGGGGCAGCACAGUCUUCCCAAGGUGGAGGGGAGGGAGACCAGAGUGCCCCCACUGGAUGGCCGUGAGCAACAGCACCUUCUCUGAAAGAGGGGACAGCGGGGGAAGCUAGAAACUGGCAGAAGGGUCCCACUCCCUCCUAGGCACCACCUGAAUGUUGAGCCUCAGGCGGGAAGGCUACAGGGACAGGCGUGUCAAAAUCACUGACUUUACGUGCCUUUUGCUUGAUGUAAAACUGGGCCACUAUGUUUUCUUCUUCUCCACCCGACACACCCAGCCCACUCUUCCAGGAUGCGAAUGUGCCUGCGAGGACCACUCCACGCCACCAGGGGACGUCGGAGACUUCCACGUCUCCUCGCGCAAAGGUCUCCUGUAUGGCUGGUCGCAGGGCAGGAAGACCAUGGGCUUCUCCCCAGUUCCCUGACUCCCUGGACAAACGAGCCCUCGGGGGGAAAUUGAGGCUCUGUGAUACAUUGGACAGACCAGCACAGAGCAAAUGACUCACUUGCCAAAGGUUAUGCCCGUGCACCAAGAAGCCUGGGAACAGAGUCCAGAGACUUGAGCGUCAUGUGUUGGGGCCUGUUCUGUCCACGUCUUCUGCCGAGGGACACAUCUGGGCUGCGGACCAAAGUUAUUAAAAUGUGGAGCUCAGAUCCUAACUGUGCACGAGCCCCCUGUGUGCUCAUCGGCGUGCUUUGGGCUUUCCACACGUACCUUGUGAGACUGGUUAGCUCCCCUCAGCCCCCCAAAUGGAGCUCUGGCAGGCCCUGGGGGUGCAGGGAGUUGGGCCAGGCGUGUCCGGCUUCUAGGCUGGCCUCCCGAACCACAGGUGAGUCAUCAGGUCGGUCAAGUUGGUGGGGCCGGAAGAGCCUGGCUGGCCCGGAAAGCUGCCUCCCAGGGCGGAAUCCUAGAGAGCACUCGUUGGGAGAGGCUGGGAGAGCCUUGGGACAGAGGGUGUGUUCCUUCUGGGUUUAUUUCUACAUUUCCGCUUGGGGGCAGAGGGUGGGGGAGGGUGGAGGCCAGGGUGCUGGUGUGGGGGUGGGGGUUGGGGUAAGGAUGAAGGCCAAAGGAACAGUUAAGUACGUUUGGAAAAAUUGCUGUGUACUUGGGCGUGACUCUCAUUCCGUCUUUAAAAGAAAAGGACAGUUGGGUCCUCCUUUUAUAAUUAGGAAAAAAUGUUAAAAAUGAAAAAAAAAAUCAACUACGUGGAAGACUUUUGAUGAUGGUUGCAGGACUCUGUCAUUUGUGGACUCCGAACCCUGACGGGAACCACUAAUCUAGCGCUUAACACGGAUGCCUCAUCGUGUCCUCUGUUUCACCAGUGCUGACUUCCCGUCUCCAGAUGGAUUUGUUAUUAUUAUGCAGGGGGCAGACCUUCCCCAGGGAGGGCCCGGGGCAGUCACUUGGUCCCAGGCUGCUGCUGCAGAACCCUCUGUUGAGCACCCCAAACUUCCUCAAUGAAGUUUUUUUCAGAGGUUUAAGUGGGAGGUGAUAGCUCACAUUUAGAAGGUUCUUCAUGGCGUACAAAGCGUCUUGUUUACACUUUGAAUGUGACCUUCACCACGAAGCGGGGAAGAUAAAUUUUGUUACUGUUAAUACGAGACUUGUUAGGGAACCAAAGCUCGGAGAGGUUAAGAAGCUUGCCAGACGUCACACGACCAAUUAGAGGCAGAACUGAAAUCUCUGGGUUGCUUGUGGGGAAAGCUCAUGAUGUGCCUCUGAAGUUUCCAAGCCUUGUUACAAGUCAGAUUAUCUCAUUUGCCUUUCUAACAGCCUGUGCAUUAGGAGGGUGGAUGUUGUCAUCUUUCUCUAAGGGACAAGUUAAGGAAGGCCCCCAGUGUCGCGCAGGGGCAAGGGGCCGAAUGUAAUGCCAAGAUCUCUUUGCUCUCCUUCUAAGUGUCGCCUCCAACAUUUGUGCGUAUCAUGAGCAGAGGUGUGUGUGGGUGUGGGUGAUGUUACCAGACGGAAAAAAAAAAUAAAAGGAAAACGCUACAUGAAUUAUUCGUCUCUGGGCAACAAUCGCUUCACAGCUCGGCUCAGAGAGCUGGCAAGUCCCUGAUCUCAAGCUUAAAAAUGAGGGAAUAAGAACCUCAGAUAAGCGAGGUGGCUUUGCUCCCCACCCGUGUCACAUCCGUUUGCCCUGUGCUUCUCUGUUCCACACUGGCUGCUCCUUUCCCGACACUCUCCCUGAGAACCCGGAGGCUCAUCGUCACCCCCGCCGUGCCCCCGCUGCCAUGCCCGUCCUCAUUCUAUUUUGGAUCUCUAGAAACACCUAUGAGCCUGACUUCUCUUUCCAGCUCUCUUGGGGAGAGAGUCCUCAGUCCAUUUCAAGCAGUGGAGACCGUCGGGUUGAGCUCUGCACGGAGUGGUCCUCACUGCUGCUCCCUCGGUCCCCAGCAGUGAUCAACUGUAAUUGGCUGGAUGGGCGACCAGUAUCUGCCACCCGGAGCCGGUCCUGGGCACAGAGAAGAGGUGCCACGCAGUCCCCAGGGGAAGGAAGUCAGCUGUGAGCGAAAAGCCUUGCCGGGUUCCCUCCUCUCCGGGGUGGACUGCGGGGCCAGUGGGAGUAGCCGUCUGGCACACACGUGAAUGCUAAGGGUCACCCUUGCUCUCCUGCCACUGGGCCGGCUCUCCCCAGCUGGAAAGAUGUACCCAGUCUAGCUCAGGAGCCGCGUGGAGACCUCCCUGUGGCCAGCCCGUGGCCAGGGCCCCUAGUCGGGUCCCCCAGGUGGCAGGCCUUUUGCAAGCCAGCACCCAGAGCCCCGGGAUACUGGUGUUCGUCCUGGUACCUGCUGUUCACGUGCCCUGUCUGGCUGCAGCAGGGGGUGGGCGGGCAGAGGGGCUGGAGGGAGACUACCCACAUCCACGGAGCAAAGAUAACUUGGCUCUGGUGUGUCAGAAAGGGCUGUUUUCUGCAUUCUCCACCUCCACCCAGAUCCCUCAGCGGCUUUGAUGUGUUUCAGCGUCCCAUCCCCCAUCACCUUCUAGCACCUUCUGACUUGUCAAGAAGCAUAAAGUAAUUGGCAGAGACGAGAUAAAAGAGGGGUGUGUGUGUGGGUGCCGGGCGUCUAAUUUCCUUCCACCGCCUUACUCUGCCCCCCCCCGCCCCCAGAUUUCUAAUUGCAUUUGAGAAAGAAUAAUGAGCAUCAAAUAAAUACAGAGCAACUUACCCCUGCUCCACCUGUGGGACACCGCCGCCUGAGCAUCAUAACACAACAGCAGAAGCAGCAGCGUGUUCCAACACAUCUUUUGCUCCAAAAAGGUGACACUUGUCCUCGAACCCAAUGGGACCUCAGGAGCUACAGGUAUUCAGCAUGACCUCAGGCAAGCGAGUCUGAAGCAGCCAGACAUGAGGCAUUCCCAGUGAGGUUUAUCUCUGACACUGUUCCGUGCCGAACACAGAGCUACAUCAUUCUACGUGCUUCUGGUGGGGACCCCCAUAAAUCCUCAUCUGCAGCAAAGGAAUUCUGUCGCGCUUCAGGUGACCAGCCUAGGACCGGGUGGUGGCCAGAGCCAUCUGGGGGAAAGGGUACAGAAGACAGGGGUGAGAAGGGAGAGAUGAUGUGGUUGGUCGCCAGAUUUAGCACAUCCGAAAAAAAUGAUUUUUUAGUUUAAAUAUGUUCCCCAAUGGGGCGCCUGGGUGGCUCAGUUGGUUAGGCGGCCGACUUCGGCUCAGGUCAU